UACGAAGGGGGCUAGCGUUGCUCGGAAUUACUGGGCGUAAAGCGCAUGUAGGCGGCGAUUCAAGUUAGAUGUGAAAGGCCUGGGCUCAACCCGGGAACUGCAUUUGAUACUGAAUUGCUAGAGUCCAAGAGAGGGUAGUGGAAUUCCCAGUGUAGAGGUGAAAUUCGUAGAUAUUGGGAAGAACACCAGUGGCGAAGGCGGCUACCUGGCUUGGUACUGACGCUCAGAUGCGAAAGCGUGGGGAGCAGACAGG
RNAcentral lists this ribosomal RNA (253 nucleotides) under uncultured bacterium. Its description in RNAcentral is "partial 16S ribosomal RNA". It matches the Rfam family "Bacterial small subunit ribosomal RNA", at positions 524 to 776 of the family's 1533-position model. The record is from RNAcentral.